RNAcentral lists this long non-coding RNA (6301 nucleotides) under Cucumis sativus (cucumber). Its description in RNAcentral is "long non-coding RNA (CSAT_LNC002582)". The record is from RNAcentral. Lineage: Eukaryota; Viridiplantae; Streptophyta; Magnoliopsida; Cucurbitales; Cucurbitaceae.
GUCGGUUCAGCACAUAGCCUAUAUCCACUCUUAUUCAAUAUUCAGUGUGAAAGUAGAUUCAAAACAAAUAUGAACAUAUUUUUCAUACUACAUCUUCAUGCAUUUUCUUUGUAUAUUUCUCCUUAAGGCUACAAGACAUUUAUUAGUUGUUUGUUGAAACAAAAUAACUUCCUCUUCUAACAAAAUGUAGUUGUAACUAAUUAUUUCAUUUCUUUAACAUUUGCAGAAAUUGAAGCUCUCUUGCGCAAGAUGGUUCAUCAACAAAUUUCAGCAGCUCUUUCCUUCCAUUUUUGUUAUUUUCUCUUUGGUCUCGUUCUUUUCUUUGUGUUCUUCAAACUUGAGAAUAACGACUAAAAGUAUGGAUAUAUAUAGUACCAAGAAUAGCAAUGAAGUUACUUUUGCUCUUUAUGAUCUUUAGUCUUGUUCUUUGUUCUGGAUGAGCACAAGGUUGUUUUAAUAAGUUAGCAAAUUCCAAAAAGAAAACUUUAAAUUGAGACAAGUUUCUCUUCUUGUGUCCAAAAUUUAGAUUAACAGUAUAAUCAACUACUCUAAGAGCUUACUUGGUGUGCACUUGGUAUUUUUAAGCUUAAAAUUCUAUUUUUUUUCUUUAAACUUUGCAUCUUUUUUCUAUUUUAGUCUCUAAAUUUUUAAAAGUAUUUGUUUUGGUCCUCAAAUUUUUUAAAAAAGAAAACUUACUUUGAUCCCUGACAUUAAAAUUUUUAUUAACUCUUAACAGAACGAUAAUGUGGCUUUCUAUAUUUUGAUGAUUAUGCUCUGGAAGGAGUAACUUGCUGAGAAGAAGUCAUGCUUAGACUGAAUGCCUAGACAACGACCUGCAUGCUAAUUCGACUUGUAUUUUGCUUGGUGGAAUUAAUAUCUCGCCUUGCCUAGACAGAAUGUCUAGUCUAACCGCUUGAUGUCUCGCGUUGUGUAAUGAUCAAAACACCUAAGAAUCAGCUCAUAGGGACUUAUCACAAUCAGUUUCCCUAGUGAUCAGAUCGUCUGGUCAAAAUGCCUACUGCAAAAUAGAAACUAGUUAAUAAAGAGAGGGUGAGUCGCGAAUCUCGAUUUCUUUAAGACGUAAUUUCAUGGUUCUGCUCCUUUAUGCAAACAGAUUUGUAUAGUCUCGUCAGUCCCAAGAAUAAAAUAAUCGUGUUCAGCAAUCAGAAAUGCACGGAGACUUAUUGGAAUACCAACACUGAAAAUAGACGCUUUCGAAUUACCCCACCCCAUCGCUUUUGUUGGGAAAGUAGCUCUCGGAAAGCUCACAUAAAGAUAGUAUAAGCAAAAGAAGUUUUUCUCAUUUUUCUCGUAUAUAUUAAAAUGAAGAAGAAAAAAGUCUUUAUAUAGUGGAGGAGACUAAAAAAGACGUUGGUAAUUAAAUAGAAAAUUUUAAUUAUGAAAACGUUUGUAAUUAAGGGAGUAUAACAUUGGAAAUUAAAUAUAAAACAAAAUAAAAACGUUUGAUUCUUGUAUUAAAUAUAAAAAUAUAAUAGCAUUAUUACAUCUCAUCUCACAUAGGAUAGUGACAUAUGAGAGAAGAUUAUAGCAAAUCGCUUAGCCAUCUCGCCUUGGAUGGUAAUUUGCACGUGGAGAUUAGCAAAUUACUCGCCUAGCCAUUAGCCAUCUCACCUCAGAUCGCUACAAAUCGCCUAUCUUCUUUCCUUUCCAAACUCACAAUUGGAUGAGUAUUUCGUAAUAAUGUCAUUUUCAAAAAAAAUCAUCAACAGAUCAUAAUAUAAUGUUUAAUUCAGAAUUGAACCAUACGAGACAAAACUCUAAAUUCAAAAUCUCACAAAAGCAUGAAAUAAUGGUAAACUCCUAAACGCCCCAAGGUAGAAUAGAGUACCUCAGUCUCUCAUCCAGAUGAGAAAAAGGUAAAGUGCAUAGAAUUAAGAGAAAAAACUCAGAAAAUAAAAUGAAACUAUCCAAGAGUUUAUGAAAUGGGAGGUCCCUUAAUUUAAAUGUUGAAAGCUUCUUUUAAUAAGGAUUGUGACGCUAAUUAAGGACAACGUUCUGGCACUCUACGAAGAUAACCUGCAGACUAGAGUUAGAGCAUCGUGGCUUUAAGUGGUUUUCUCAAAUAAGGCAGCUACUACCUUACAACCCACAAACAACGUCAGCAUUGGCCAAAUAAGGAGCCGCAGUGCUUCAAGGCAUUGGCCAAUAUUGACCUCUAUUUGUCACUUGAGUCUAGUUGAUGCAAUUACACUUUGUUUUUGCCUAAUUUACUCUACUUUGACAUCAACUUCGUUUUUGCCUAAUUUAACUCUACUUUGGCAUCAACACUAAAUUCUACCAUUCAUUUGCUUGUAACCUACAAAAUACCAAAAAAAAAAAAAAGAAGUGAAAUCAUAGAACAAUCUCAAAUUAGGUAGGAUUAGAUAACACAUUUUCAGUGCUAUCAAUAUAUCCAUAUUUUCUCAUUUUUAUAUAGAUAAUAUUUGCAAAAUGAUAUUAUCAGUGAUAUAUUGAUGAUACCAAUGAUUUUCAUGAAAAAAACUGUUCAUCCUCAUUAUCUCUAUCGAAAACUCCAAUUUGGCGAUAUACCAUCGACAUAUAUCGCAAUUUUUCAAUCCUUACAGAGUUAAGGAUGAAACCUCCAACUUUUAGGGAUGAAACCAAUCUUUCCAAUAUCUAUAUCAUUCGGUUGAUCUUAAUUACCUUGCUCUUUUUUUUCGGUUUUUUUUUUUCUUUUAGAAAGUUAAUAUGCUUAUUUAUUUGUUGAUUUUACGAAAGAAAUUAAACAAAAUAAAAUAAACAUGGGACAAAAAUUAUUUGUUUUUUCUCUUUUUGUUAAAUCAUAUGCACAAUGCCUUUAAAUUUGCCUUUAAAUUUGAGUUUUGUGUCAAAAUACCCCUAAACUUUCAAAAGUUUCAAAAAUACCUUAAACGGUUAAAAAGAGUUCAAAAAUAUUUUCAAAAUUAAUUCUAAAUGGAAAUAGUUAAGGGGUGUUCGGUGUUGUUAGGACUAUAUUUGACUUACUUUUUAUAGCUUAACUAUUUUCACAUCACAUCACCUUAUUUAAUAAAUCUUCCAUCUUAUAGGAAAUAAUAAUCUAGACAUUGCUAAGAGUCCAAUACAACAAAAAAUUGCUUAACUCAUAGCUAAAACGAGUGAGAACAUGUCAAAACAAGAUCUGUGGCAAUUUCAUAAAAUAAGUAGAAAACAGACAUCACAAUCCUCCAAACUUCAAAAUCGCAUCAAACACGCGUUUUUGCGAGUAUUUUUUAUCCUAAAUUGACAUAAUGGUUUAUUUAAGACCAAAAACACUUUAUAAACUCAAUUAAGCAAUUCAUUUUUCAAUUUGUACCAAAUUUCUCUCAAAUCACUUGUAAACUCUCUCUAAAAAUCAAUAAAAUUCUAUCAAGAUUCUACAAGAAUGACCAGCUUCUUUCUUAAAAUCUUAGAGGCUACUUCCCAUCUUCCAAGAUCAUGAGAAACUAAAGAUAGCUUCUUGGGAAUUGGGUGUCUUUAGUAUAAUUCUUGGAGAAAUCAUAUCUUAUUUGUUUUUCUUGAUCAAUCUAUAAUAAAAAAUAUCCCCCAUUAGUUUGCUUGAUGACCCAAUAAAUUUAGGGCUUAAUUUUGGAUACACUAAGCUUGAUAAUUUCAUUGAUUAUUUAGCAUGAAAAGCAUCAUACUCAAUUGUCUUUGACAAUCAAGUAGAAAUUUCUCAAAACAAUCUUCCUUUAGAUAAUGGCAUUCCGAGUUUAUGAAGUCUCAAUUUAAUUCUCUUGAUCUUUGUGCAACUUUAAUGGAGCAAGUGAAAACGGGGUAAGAUGAAACUUUGUUCGUUAAGGUUAGGAUGAAUUUUAAUCCAUUUCUUAGUUCAUUAAUAUCGAGCAAUUGGUUCUUGGACCAAUUGAUCGAGGAUCAAUCGAAAUUGCAAUUACAAAUUCAAUGACAAGAAUGUUAUUGAUUAAAGCACCCAAUUCCCAUCUUUUAACAUUCGAGAGAAUUCAUACAUUUGUGUUGCUUUAAUUCUUUGUCAUAAAAAAUACCACAAAAACAUCUAUUACUUUUUUUAAUUUUCUUAUUUGCAACCAACACCCAAUACACAAAUACUUUAAUUCUUUGAAGAGUUUUUUGAGGUUGGGAAUUUUUACCCAAUUGUAUUCUUUUGCUGUUACAUUUUUUGUAUUUUUUGUGUAUCAUCAAUUUGUUUCUGCAAUAGAAUUAAUUCUUGUGUUCUAGGAAUGUUAAGCUUAAGGUUAGGUUGAGAGGUUUAGGAAGCGUUGGUUUAAGAAAACUGUAUUUGGAGUGCAAAUUUAGGUCGUCUGGGUUUAUAAAAAGAAAUUGUGUUAAGAACGCAGACUUAGGAAGCGUGAGAAUGAAAUGCAAGUUUUUAAAUUUUGGGUUUCCUAAAUAUUUUCUUGUAUUUAAUCAUUGAUUAGAUUUUAAACUAGUUUAUAUUUCUCAUCUUAAUAAUUUUAAUAUAUGGUUAACUUUAAAAUAUAAACUAAAAAAAUUUGGAAGAACAUUUGCUUUUUUCCUUUUUUAAUUUUGAAAUAGAGAUUUGACUAAAAUUAUAAUUUUAUAUGAUUUAUUGUUUAUUAAUUUGGUACUUUGAUUUUAAUAGGUUUUGAAAUAAUCUUGUCACUUUAAUUUACAAUAACUUUUUGUUUUCAAUUUUGCCCUUCUUUCUAGUAUAGAUUUGUGUGUUUCCUAUUUUGGUUUUAUUGUAAUUUAUGUUAUUUAUUUAUUUUUAAUUUAAAAUUAAUGAUUAAUAAAUACGUGGGUAUUAAUAAUUUUAAUUUUCUCUAAUUAAUUAUAUCAUUAAAAUUUCUUUAAAACCAUCUACAUCCUUAUAUCUCACACAUGCUCAUAUUCUCUUAUUUGGUAUUAAUUAUUUUGUAUUUAUUUCAAUCUAUCAGAUUCUUUUCCUUUUUUUUAAAUUUUUGGGUAUAGAUAUCUCAUUUUUUUUCUUUUUUAUUAAUGUUCACAAGUUACAACAAAAAAAGUUAGGGUUAACUAGAAGAAUAAUAAUUUUAAAGUUGUCAUUUUGAAAAUAGCAAAAUUGCUUUUCUUUUUCAAAAAUGGCAAAAAAAAAAGAAAAAAACAAUAAAUAAGAAUUUGCAAAAACCCAAAAUAUCCCUAUAACACAUAUAGAGUGUAAAGCUAUUUUCUUAAGCUAAAAUAAAAUAAACACACCUUAAGAAAUGUGGAAACACAAGUAUACCUACCUAGUUAUCCAAUCAAAACAGAACCCUUCAUCUCCAUUUGUCAGACUCGUUACAAUGAUCUUCAUUUUUCAUUUUUGUUUUUCGAUUCUCCAUCUUCCAUUUUAGGAGUCUCCAUCUUUCUUCGUCUCCAUUUUCUGUUUUUAUUUUUCGAUCUCAUAUUCUUCAAGCGAACAAACCCUAUAUAAUCUUUCCACCUUUGAAGCGGGCAAACUCCAAUAUAAAUUAACUUUCUACCAUCCCUUUUGCGAGUUAAUCUCAUUUGUGAUAAACAGUUUAAGCACACAAAUACUAUCUUCAUUUUCCAUCUUCGAUCCAUCUUUAAUUUUCAAAUCUACAAUCUGUAAUCUCAAACGCUAAGGAUGGGAGGAACAAAAAUCUUCGACAAGAUUCAAAAGUUGCACCUUUUUUCUCUUAGGGGAAAUUUUAACUGAUUUUUUUAAAAAUUAUUUAUAUUAUUUAACUAAUAAAAUAUGUAGAUGUAAUUUGAAAGAUUUUAUCUAAAAACACAAUACGUUAGCCUAUUUUGUUGGAAAGAAAUCAAAUUUCAAAACAAAUUAAGAUCUUACUACUAAAACUGAUUUUAACUUCCAAAUUAAAAAUUCAAAUUUUAAAAAUAAAUUAAGAUCGAAAGAUUAAAAAUUCCGUAAUUAAGAAUAUAUAGAUUGAACGAUUAAGAAUAUAUAAAUUCAUAAGUGCAUAUCACAAAUAAAUCAGGUGUGAGUUAGAGACAUCUUCAUUAUUUAAUAAUUAAUAAUAUAUAAAUUCUAACAAAUUAAACAAACUAUUUUGAAUAACGUUAAAAUAUUCAACAAAGAUAUUAAAUUUCAAAAUAUUAAGAAGAUGUUAUGAUAGGAGACUGUAGUCAUGCACAGCGAAAAAAGAAUCGAAUUUCUACCCUAAUUGCCACAAUUAACAUGUAACCAUAAACUAAUCAAAUUAGGGCUUUAAGAAAUAUUACCUUUGAAGCUUUCAAAAGGUUUGAUAUCUUCUUACCAAUUCUAACCGAGACCACCACUAGUACUCAACUGCUAUCCUCUAGACAAAGAACCGGGUUGUGGGACCCAAUUUUGGUGUAGAAAGUAAUGGAGAUAAAAUGAGAUUGGAAGCUUUCUUUUUUU